CUCCUUAAGCUUGCAUGCUUGGUGGUGGUGAUGUUCUGCAUGGUGGCUGGUGCCCCCAAAGCCGAGGCAGCUGUGACAUGCGGUCAGGUGGUGAACAGCCUGGUUCCAUGCCUUAGCUACGUGACGAACGGCGGGGCACUGAACCCCGCUUGCUGCAACGGGGUGAAGACCCUCUACAACCUGGCUCAAACCACCCCUGACCGCCAGAACGUCUGCAACUGCUUGAAGCAAGCAAUCAAUGGAAUACCUUACACCAAUACCAACGCUGGCCUUGCUGCUG
RNAcentral lists this long non-coding RNA (280 nucleotides) under Malus domestica (apple). RNAcentral's name for it is "long non-coding RNA (MDOM_LNC004076)". Lineage: Eukaryota; Viridiplantae; Streptophyta; Magnoliopsida; Rosales; Rosaceae. The record is from RNAcentral.